This 824-nucleotide long non-coding RNA is filed under the name Daucus carota (carrot). RNAcentral describes it as "long non-coding RNA (DCAR_LNC001612)". The record is from RNAcentral. Lineage: Eukaryota; Viridiplantae; Streptophyta; Magnoliopsida; Apiales; Apiaceae.
UGGCAAUUGCAAUUAUGGAUACACUUCUGGUCUCUUCUUUGAAUGUGAUGGCUGUGGAUAUCUUAUCUGCACUCGAUGUGUCAGGAAGAUAUAUGGGUGAUUAACAAGUCAAUGCAAUUCUGAGAUACUUCUACACUCUCUUUGGCAAGUGUUUUAUGUCAGCUAUAAACUUUUUACACAAUAAUGUUAUUUCAGCACAUCAGCGUUGCAUUUGUGUUGUUUUAUCUUUCUUAGUGGAUUUGCUACUUAUAUCCAAUUAUAUCACCUCAGCCAAAAUAGAUACAAGUUAUUCUAUGAUUGCAAUGUAUAUAUAACUUAUAAGGAUCAUGAAGCUACAUUCGAAGAAUAAUUAGCUUAAGUCACUCAUAAUAAGCAAGUCAAGUGAAUAAGAAAGAGGGCAUAUGUCAGAAAAUAGCAUAGAAUCACAAAUGCAAAAAUCACUUUAAGUUUCUUGCUUAACCGAUUGCAAUCAUUAUUAGGUUUCUUGGAUAAUAAAAUUAUAAAUUCACUGUUUAAGCCAAUCAAAUAAUCUUGAUGCAUUAGAAAACACAUGAUGCAAAAAGCAGACACAAUCUAAAGAACAGAAUUUUGGGACAGAAAGCUCGAUCAAAAAACAUACCUCUUCCUUGCAAAAUCAAAAGCUAUAGCAUCUUUACUUCUUCAAGCAGAGAAAUUAUCAUCUUUUCCAAUUCAUAUAUCAUUGUUCUUAUCAUAAUAAUAUUAAGAUUAUGUGAGCGAGAAAAUAUUGAGAUGGUGUAUGGUGAUUGUGUGAAGUUUGUGACCGGGAUUUUGUGAGGUUUAUGGCUGGGAUUGUGUGCUGGUUG